This 253-nucleotide ribosomal RNA is filed under the name uncultured Eubacteriales bacterium. RNAcentral describes it as "uncultured Clostridiales bacterium partial 16S ribosomal RNA". It matches the Rfam family "Bacterial small subunit ribosomal RNA", at positions 524 to 776 of the family's 1533-position model. The record is from RNAcentral. Lineage: Bacteria; Bacillati; Bacillota; Clostridia; Eubacteriales.
UACGUAGGGGGCAAGCGUUAUCCGGAUUUACUGGGUGUAAAGGGGGCGCAGACGGCGAUGCAAGCCAGGAGUGAAAGCCCGGGGCCCAACCCCGGGACUGCUCUUGGAACUGCGUGGCUGGAGUGCAGGAGGGGCAGGCGGAAUUCCUGGUGUAGCGGUGAAAUGCGUAGAUAUCAGGAGGAACACCGAUUGCGAAGGCAGCUUACCAAGCUACUUCUGACGUUGAGGCACGAAAGCGUGGGGAGCAAACAGG